CAGUACCGUGAGGGAAAGGUGAAAAGAACCCCGGGAGGGGAGUGAAAGAGAACCUGAAACCAUAUGCCUACAAGAAGUCAGAGCCCGUUAAAGGGUGAUGGCGUGCCUUUUGUAGAAUGAACCGGCGAGUUACUGUAUGGAGCGAGGUUAAGCAGGAUAUGCGGAGCCGAAGCGAAAGCGAGUCUUAAGAGGGCGAGAGUUGCAUGCAGUAGACCCGAAACCGGGUGAUCUAGCCAUGACCAGGUUGAAGUUGGGGUAAAACCCGAUGGAGGACCGAACCGACCCCCGUUGAAACGUUGGCGGAUGAGUUGUGGCUAGGGGUGAAAUUCCAAUCGAACCCGGAGAUAGCUGGUUCUCCCCGAAAUAGCUUUAGGGCUAGCGUCGAGGUAAGUUGCGUGAAGGUAGAGCACUGAAUAUGUGAUGGCCCCAUCUCGGGGUACUGAGCAUAAUCAAACUGCGAAUGUCACGAUAACAUGCUCGGCAGUCAGACAGCGGGUGAUAAGGUCCGUUGUCAAGAGGGAAACAGCCCAGACCAUCAGCUAAGGUCCCAAAAUGUAUGCUAAGUGGAAAAGGAUGUGGAGAUGUACAGACAACUAGGAGGUUGGCUCAGAAGCAGCCAUCCUUUAAAGAGUGCGUAACAGCUCACUAGUCGAAUGACUCUGCGCCGAUAAUUUACCGGGGCUAAGCAUACUACCGAAGCUAUGGAUCCCAAGGGAUGGUAGGGGAGCGUUCCAUGAACGGAGAAGUACGACCGAAAGGACGUGUGGAGAUCAUGGAAGAGAGAAUGCCGGUGUGAGUAGCGGAACGUGGGUGAGAAUCCCACGCACCGAAAACCCAAGGUUUCCAGAGGAAGGUUCGUCCGCUCUGGGUAAGUCGGGACCUAAGGCGAGGCCGAAAGGCGUAGUCGAUGGACAACAGGUAGAGAUUCCUGUACCCGUAUAUAUGUGAAGGAAUGACGGAGAGAGGAAGCUGCAGCCAGCGGCUGGAAGAGCUGGUGCAAGCGAGAUAUCGGGAUGGCAGGCAAAUCCACCAUCCGAAACGAGAAGGCGUGAAGCGUACGGAAAGCUACGGCGAGUACGGAAGGCAGUGGAGGAACUUCCAAGAAAAGUUUCUAACGUUAAGUAUAUAUGGCCCGUACCGAAAAUGGACACACAUGGGUGAGGAGAGAAUCCUAAGGUGAGCGAGAGAACUAUAGCUAAGGAACUCUGCAAAAUGACUCCGUAACUUAGGGAGAAGGAGUGCUCAUAGAGAUAUGAGCCGCAGUGAAACGGCCCAAGCGACUGUUUACCAAAAACACAGCUCUCUGCUAAGCCGCAAGGCGAAGUAUAGGGGGUGACGCCUGCCCGGUGCUGGAAGGUUAAGGGGAGGGGUUAACGCAAGUGAAGCCCUGAACUGAAGCCCCAGUAAACGGCGGCCGUAACUAUAACGGUCCUAAGGUAGCGAAAUUCCUUGUCAGGUAAGUUCUGACCCGCACGAAAGGCGUAACGAUUUGGGCGCUGUCUCAGCUGUAGACUCGGUGAAGUCUUAGUACCUGUGAAGAUGCAGGUUACCCGCGACUAGACGGAAAGACCCCAUGGAGCUUCACUGCAGGUUGAUAUUGGGAUUUGAUGCAGCAUGUACAGGAUAGGUAGGAGGCAAAGAGAUGGAUACGCCAGUAUUCAAGGAGCCGCUGUUGGGAUACUACCCCUGUUGUAUUGGAUUUCUAACCGGACGACGUAGAGCCGUUGACGGGACAGUGUCAGUCGGGCAGUUUGACUGGGGCGGUCGCCUCCCAAAGAGUAACGGAGGCGCCCAAAGAUACCCUCAGCUUGGAUGGAAACCAAGCGCAGAGUGCAAAGGCAAAAGGGUGUUUGACUGCGAGACCCACAAGUCGAGCAGGGACGAAAGUCGGGCUUAGUGAUCCGGCGGUGCUGAAUGGAAAGGCCGUCGCUCAACGGAUAAAAGCUACCCUGGGGAUAACAGGCUGAUCUCCCCCAAGAGUUCACAUCGACGGGGAGGUUUGGCACCUCGAUGUCGGCUCAUCGCAUCCUGGAGCUGAAGUCGGUUCCAAGGGUUGGGCUGUUCGCCCAUUAAAGCGGUACGCGAGCUGGGUUCAGAACGUCGUGAGACAGUUCGGUCCCUAUCUGUCGUGGGCGCAGGAUAUUUGAAAGGCGCUGUCCCUAGUACGAGAGGACCGGGAUGGACGCAUCAAUGGUGGACCAGUUGUCACGCCAGUGGCAUAGCUGGGUAGCUAAAUGCGGAAGGGAUAAACGCUGAAGGCAUCUAAGUGUGAAACCCACUUCAAGAUGAGAUUUCCCAUUGC
Molecule: ribosomal RNA, 2302 nt
Filed under: human gut metagenome
Description: bacterial LSU rRNA
Rfam family: Bacterial large subunit ribosomal RNA
Source: RNAcentral